AAGAUAGAAAAUAAUAAUAAUAGAAAAUAAUAAUAAUAAUAAUAAAGGCAGCAUACUGGACGGUGAAUAGAAGUAUUUAACUAUGCAUUUUGAUCGUAUGAUGUCCAUGCAGUAUUAGAGAUAUUCAGAAGAAAACGCUCUUUGCCAGAAAACAUAGCUACAAAGAGACUCGUGUUUUUACAAGACAUCGAAUAACGAACAAGAAAGAGAAAGAAAGGACGUGAAGAUAGUGUAAAGAAAAACGAAAAUCUGUCGGAAGAAAUCAUGGAAAAUAUAAAACUACCCACCAACUCAAAUAACUAAAUUUCGAUUUUGAGCAUUGCGUUGUUUAUCGGAUAUCAAAUGUCGUGAUUUAAAACUAUUAAUAAAGUUCAUGUUCCCCUCGGUGAGAUUUAUUCUAGCGUGGUUGGAUCGAAAUCAAGGGACUUGCAUAAGACAUUUUUUUUUCAUUUUGUGCAAUCCAAUGGGUGCUGUGGAAAUGUUAUAAAACCGUACGUGUUGUGUUAUUGUGGUUUAAAAGAUGGAAUGUAUAUCACAAAAUCAUUAUCAUAUAUCGUGAAAAUGAAUAUAUUGAAGAAUAAAGAAACGCGUGAAAUUAUAUUGUACAACUGUUGUUUUGGUUUUGUGUGAUAUGGAGGAAAAAAAUGAAACACGUGCUUCUUUUUCUUUUUAAAACAGAAUAAAUCUACAAAACAAUGAAUCAGUCGAGUCCA
Molecule: long non-coding RNA, 713 nt
Organism: Cyprinus carpio (common carp)
Lineage: Eukaryota; Metazoa; Chordata; Actinopteri; Cypriniformes; Cyprinidae
Exons: 3
Source: RefSeq, a predicted model, not a curated record